This 400-nucleotide ribosomal RNA is filed under the name uncultured bacterium. RNAcentral's name for it is "bacterial SSU rRNA". It matches the Rfam family "Bacterial small subunit ribosomal RNA", at positions 29 to 415 of the family's 1533-position model. The record is from RNAcentral.
AACGAACGUUAGCGGCGCGCCUAACACAUGCAAGUCGAGCGAGAAGGAAGCAAUUCCUGUAAAGCGGCGCACGGGUGAGUAACACGUAGGUAAUCUACCUCGAAGUGGUGGAUAACCUUCCGAAAGGAGGGCUAAUACAGCAUGAGACCACGGUUUCGAAAGAGAUUGAGGUCAAAGCGGGCCACUAUACAUAAGCUCGCGCUUCGAGAUGAGCCUGCGGCCCAUCAUGGUAGUUGGUAGGGUAAUGGCCUACCAAGCCGAAGACGGGUAGCUGGUCUGAGAGGAUGAUCAGCCACACUGGAACUGAGACACGGUCCAGACUCCUACGGGAGGCAGCAGUGGGGAAUCUUGCGCAAUGGGCGAAAGCCUGACGCAGCGACGCCGCGUGAGUGAUGAAGGC